RNAcentral lists this ribosomal RNA (216 nucleotides) under uncultured prokaryote. RNAcentral's name for it is "partial 16S ribosomal RNA". It matches the Rfam family "Bacterial small subunit ribosomal RNA", at positions 524 to 739 of the family's 1533-position model. The record is from RNAcentral.
UACGAAGGGGGCUAGCGUUGCUCGGAAUCACUGGGCGUAAAGGGUGCGUAGGCGGGUCUUUAAGUCAGGGGUGAAAUACGGCAGCUCAACUGUCGAGGUGCUGUUGAUACUGGGGAACUUGAGUACUGAUGAGGUAGGCGGAAUGGACGGUGUAGCGGUGAAAUGCUUAGAGAUCGUCCAGAACACCGAUAGCGAAGGCAGCUUACUAAGGAGUAA